RNAcentral lists this long non-coding RNA (931 nucleotides) under Cyanistes caeruleus (blue tit). Its description in RNAcentral is "lncRNA (ENSCCEG00000012165.1)". Lineage: Eukaryota; Metazoa; Chordata; Aves; Passeriformes; Paridae. The record is from RNAcentral.
UCUCGGGUCAAACUGCACCCGAGCUGCUGCCAGCCCAGAGAUCUGUGCCCCACUGAUACCCCUGUACCCCUCGGGCCACUGAGCACGAGCUUCUCCCUCCCAGCCACGGAGUCCAGGAAGGGAAGAGGCAAAUUCUGCUUGCAAGAACAUCCCAUGGCAACGUUUUGGCGUGAGGUUCUGGUCCCAGCCGUCACAGUCAGACUGGACAUCCAACACCUCCAGUGCUCAUCCCCCUGGGGAGCCCAGGGGCACAUCCUUCCUCCAGGUGUUCCCAAGCCCUCCCUGCAGCCACAGGUAACACAGUAGGCAAAAUGCUGGUUUUCUGAGGAAAAAAAUCACACAAAACUGCUUGGUACCAGAUUAGAGGAUUUCUGUAUCAUCCUUCAGAGAUUUAUUUGACAGCUUCUAAAACUUCCACUAAACUUGGUUUCUUACAUCAUUUCUAUACACAGGUUCUGUUAUAAUUGUCUUGAAGCUUAUAAAAAAAUAAGCAUUUAAAAUGCCCAAAAGAGUAAUUUUGCUUUAAAAUUGUGCUACUGAACUUGACCCCCAACACAGAAGAGAGACUUUUGGUAAUGAGGUUACCCCAAGCAGUAUAAAAAUAUACAUAAAAAUAGACAAAAACUCUUAUCCUCCAAUCUGAAGGGCUGUUUGUGGGGAUUAUUAGUUAUUACUUUCUUUUUGUACAUCACUGUAAUUUCAUUAACUUCUGCUAAAUAUUUACAGAACCCCUCCACCCCCACCCUUUGUCUGCCUCUGCUUGCAGAGACAGAGACUUGCAGCUUUUAGUUCAUCCAGAGUUUUCUGUUGGCAAAAAUGGAUCCCUGUGUUUGGCCAUGGCACACAAGCGAUGCUGCGGGCACAGGGGUCCCUGGGGAUGCCACGUGGGGAUGGAGUGACACCAGCUGCUGUCACCUCCCCGAGAGGAGCU